RNAcentral lists this long non-coding RNA (245 nucleotides) under Lathyrus oleraceus (garden pea). RNAcentral's name for it is "Pisum sativum (pea) long non-coding RNA (PSAT_LNC038526)". The record is from RNAcentral. Lineage: Eukaryota; Viridiplantae; Streptophyta; Magnoliopsida; Fabales; Fabaceae.
AAUAACACCAACUGAUGAAGGGAUUAGCCUUCGACAAGCUUUCAAAAGUUAUGUCAUGAUGUUUGCCAAGAGGUAUCAGUUUACUUCGACCAUGGCACCUUUUGCUGAUAGAAAAAUUGGACCCAAAUGGUUUACCCAACAACUGCCUUUGGAAAUGCAGAAGGAUGAAAAUAUAUUUCUGAAUGUUUGGGAAUCAUUCUUAACCCCUAGGCUCCUUUUUUCUUAUCGUAACGCCACUAAAACCC